Molecule: ribosomal RNA, 202 nt
Filed under: uncultured prokaryote
Description: partial 16S ribosomal RNA
Rfam family: Bacterial small subunit ribosomal RNA
Source: RNAcentral
UACGAAGGGGGCUAGCGUUGCUCGGAUUGACUGGGCGUAAAGAGCGUGUAGGCGGCCCCAUUAGUCCGCUGUGAAAGUCCAGGGCUCAACCCUGGAAUGCCGGUGGAUACUGUGGGGCUAGAGUCCGGAAGGGGCGAGUGGAAUUCCUGGUGUAGCGGUGAAAUGCGCAGAUAUCAGGAGGAACACCAAUGGCGAAGGCAGC